CGUCUAUAUACGUAUAGCAUAUCAAUAAGCGGAGGAAAAGAAACUAACUAGGAUUCCCUCAGUAACGGCGAGUGAAGCGGGAAGAGCUCAAAUUUGAAAUCCUCAAGGUUCUACCUUGACGAAUUGUAGUUUAAAGAAGUGUUUUCUGUUGGAGUUUUGGUAAAAGUUCUUUGGAAUAGGACAUCAUAGAGGGUGAGAAUCCCGUAUUUGACCAUUAUUUCCAACUUUGUGAUACACUUUCAAAGAGUCGGAUUGUUUGGGAAUGCAGUCCAAAAUGGGUGGUAAAUUUCAUCUAAAGCUAAAUACUGGCGAGAGACCGAUAGCGAACAAGUACCGUGAGGGAAAGAUGAAAAGAACUUUGAAAAGAGAGUUAAACAGUACGUGAAAUUGUCAAAAGGGAAGCGUUUGACACCUGUGUUGUUUUCUCGAAAAUCAAUUAAAAAUGGCGGGAUUUUGUGUUGUAUUGACUUUAUCAGCUUUCUGCACUUUUUUCCCGUCUUUUUUAAUGCACUUUUCGUUUAACAAGUCAACAUCAAUUUCUUUUGUUGUAAAAGGGUCAUUGGAAGGUGGCUUUCUUUUCGGAGAAAGUGUCUAUAGCCUUUGACUUCUGCAAUCGGAGAGAUUGAGGUCUGCAGCGUAGAUCCUUCGGGGUUAGAUAGCAUUUGUGCUAAGCUAUAGCCUUUCAUAGACAACUUGUUGACUAUGAUCAGUCAUGUAGCUUACUCGCUUAUGCUAUUUUACCUACGCUUAGGAUGUUGAUCUGUAGUGCGUGCGC
RNAcentral lists this ribosomal RNA (775 nucleotides) under uncultured Neocallimastigales. Its description in RNAcentral is "partial large subunit ribosomal RNA". It matches the Rfam family "Eukaryotic large subunit ribosomal RNA", at positions 26 to 634 of the family's 3401-position model. Lineage: Eukaryota; Fungi; Neocallimastigomycota; Neocallimastigomycetes; Neocallimastigales. The record is from RNAcentral.